CACGGGGGGAGCAAGCGUUGUUCGGAAUUACUGGGCGUAAAGCGUCCGCAGGUGGCUAUUCAAGUCUGCGGUCAAAGACUGGGGCUUAACCCUGGAAAGGCCGUGGAAACUGAAGAGCUAGAGUGCAGUAGGGGUAGAGGGAAUUCCCGGUGUAGCGGUGAAAUGCGUAGAGCUCGGGAAGAACAUCGGUGGCGAAAGCGCUCUGCUGGACUGCAACUGACACUCAGGGACGAAAGCUAGGGGAGCGAAUGGG
RNAcentral lists this ribosomal RNA (253 nucleotides) under uncultured bacterium. RNAcentral describes it as "partial 16S ribosomal RNA". It matches the Rfam family "Bacterial small subunit ribosomal RNA", at positions 524 to 776 of the family's 1533-position model. The record is from RNAcentral.